RNAcentral lists this long non-coding RNA (215 nucleotides) under Elaeis guineensis (African oil palm). RNAcentral describes it as "long non-coding RNA (EGUI_LNC045320)". Lineage: Eukaryota; Viridiplantae; Streptophyta; Magnoliopsida; Arecales; Arecaceae. The record is from RNAcentral.
UAGAUCUUUUAGGAUUCACUUUAUAGGAUAUCCUAAGAAAAUCAUGGGAUACUACUUUUAUCUUUCUGAGGAUUGUAAUGUGAUUGUAAGCUGUCAUAUCAUCUUUUUAGAAAAAAGAGUUUAUCCAAGAUGGAGGCAGUGGGAGGAAGAUUGAGCUCGAAGAGAGUUUCUGAAGAGCAUUGAGUCCAAGAACUUGAAUUCAAUAAUGAGCCAGU